CAAUAGCGUAUAUUAAAGUUGUUGCGGUUAAAAAGCUCGUAGUUGGAUUUCUGCCGAGGACGACCGGUCCGCCCUCUGGGUGUGUAUCUGGUUUGGCCUGGGCAUCUUCUUGGAGAACGUAGCUGCACUUGACUGUGUGGUGCGGUGUCCAGGACUUUUACUUUGAGGAAAUUAGAGUGUUUCAAGCAGGCACACGCCUUGAAUACAUUAGCAUGGAAUAAUAAGAUAGGACCUCGGUUCUAUUUUGUUGGUUUCCAGGGCCGAAGUAAUGAUUAAGAGGGACAGUUGGGGGCAUUCGUAUUUAAUUGUCAGAGGUGAAAUUCUCGGAUUUAUGAAAGACGAACAACUGCGAAAGCAUUUGCCAAGGAUGUUUUCAUUAA
This 380-nucleotide ribosomal RNA is filed under the name uncultured eukaryote. RNAcentral's name for it is "partial 18S ribosomal RNA". It matches the Rfam family "Eukaryotic small subunit ribosomal RNA", at positions 592 to 976 of the family's 1831-position model. The record is from RNAcentral.